CUUUUCCUUGCAUUCCUGUCUGAACCAGGAAAUGCCCACAGCCAGUGUGAGAAGCUGAAAGGAAUCUGCUCUCUCACUGAGUGUAUUAAGGGCACUGACCUUGGGAAGCAGGGCUGUGCUUCGGGAUCGAGAUGCUGUAAACGCUUGUAAUGCCAUCUCCAUCUAUGACCAUGGAUACCUUCAGGAUACCUGCAAGAUAUGGCCAAUGACCUGAGAUUACCGCCUGCUGUCGAUUUAUCUUUCUUUAUGUAAAUCAAAUUGCUACCCAUCAAAUUCUAAAACAUUUAUGCA
Long non-coding RNA from Crotalus tigris (Tiger rattlesnake), 291 nucleotides. RefSeq lists it as uncharacterized. The transcript is spliced from 3 exons. The record is from RefSeq and is a predicted model, not a curated record. Lineage: Eukaryota; Metazoa; Chordata; Lepidosauria; Squamata; Viperidae.